CCCUUAGACGUUCUGGGCCGCACGCGCGCUACACUGACCAGUGCAACAAGCAUCCGUCCUUGGCCGACAGGCCCGGGCAAUCUUUGAACGCUGGUCGUGAUGGGGAUAGACUUUUGCAAUUUUUGGUCUUCAUCGAGGAAUUCCUAGUAAACGCAAGUCAUCAACUUGCAUUGAUUACGUCCCUGCCCUUUGUACACACCGCCCGUCGCACCUACCGAUUGAAUGGUCCGGUGAAGCCUCCGGAUUGGCGCGCACCUCGGUGCCGCCGAGAAGUUGGCUAAACCUUACCAUUUAGAGGAAGGUGAAGUCGUAACA
This 315-nucleotide ribosomal RNA is filed under the name uncultured eukaryote. RNAcentral describes it as "partial 18S ribosomal RNA". It matches the Rfam family "Eukaryotic small subunit ribosomal RNA", at positions 1470 to 1796 of the family's 1831-position model. The record is from RNAcentral.